Molecule: ribosomal RNA, 497 nt
Filed under: uncultured bacterium
Lineage: Bacteria
Description: partial 16S ribosomal RNA
Rfam family: Bacterial small subunit ribosomal RNA
Source: RNAcentral
GAUGAACGCUGGCGGCGUGCCUAGUACAUGCAAGUCGAGCGAACGGACGAGAAGCUUGCUUCUCUGAUGUUAGCGGCGGACGGGUGAGUAACACGUGGAUAACCUACCUAUAAGACUGGGAUAACUUCGGGAAACCGGAGCUAAUACCGGAUAAUAUUUUGAACCGCAUGGUUCAAAAGUGAAAGACGGUCUUGCUGUCACUUAUAGAUGGAUCCGCGCUGCAUUAGCUAGUUGGUAAGGUAACGGCUUACCAAGGCAACGAUGCAUAGCCGACCUGAGAGGGUGAUCGGCCACACUGGAACUGAGACACGGUCCAGGCUCCUACGGGAGGCAGCAGUAGGGAAUCUUCCGCAAUGGGCGAAAGCCUGACGGAGCAACGCCGCGUGAGUGAUGAAGGUCUUCGGAUCGUAAAACUCUGUUAUUAGGGAAGAACAUAUGUGUAAGUAACUGUGCACAUCUUGACGGUACCUAAUCAGAAAGCCACGGCUAACUACGUG